UGCCAGGGUGUGAAGAAUUGAUCAAGUAGCGCCGCUUGGUCUUUGAAUUGAUUGAUCAGCGUCGUUGCUUGAUCCAUUCUCUGCAUCCACAAU
This is a non-coding RNA of Tribolium castaneum (red flour beetle), 93 nucleotides long. NCBI's taxonomy places the organism in Eukaryota, Metazoa, Arthropoda, Insecta, Coleoptera, Tenebrionidae. The record is from RefSeq and is marked provisional.